This 461-nucleotide ribosomal RNA is filed under the name uncultured bacterium. Its description in RNAcentral is "partial 16S ribosomal RNA". It matches the Rfam family "Bacterial small subunit ribosomal RNA", at positions 338 to 795 of the family's 1533-position model. The record is from RNAcentral.
CCUACGGGUGGCAGCAGUGAGGAAUAUUGGUCAAUGGGCGGGAGCCUGAACCAGCCAAGUCGCGUGAGGGAAGACGGUCCUACGGAUUGUAAACCUCUUUUGCCGGGGAGCAGCGGGGUCCUUGCGAGGGCCCAAUGAGAGUACCCGGAGAAAAAGCAUCGGCUAACUCCGUGCCAGCAGCCGCGGUAAUACGGAGGAUGCGAGCGUUAUCCGGAUUUAUUGGGUUUAAAGGGUGCGUAGGCGGGCUGUUAAGCGUGCUGUGAAAUGUCCGGGCUCAACCCGGGCCUUGCAGCGCGAACUGGCGUGCUUGAGUCCGCGGAAAGCAGGCGGAAUUCGUCGUGUAGCGGUGAAAUGCUUAGAUAUGACGAAGAACCCCGAUUGCGAAGGCAGCUUGCUGCAGCGGAACUGACGCUGAUGCUCGAAAGCGCGGGUAUCGAACAGGAUUAGAUACCCUUGUAGUC